CCUACCAUGGUGGUAACGGGUGAC
This 24-nucleotide non-coding RNA is filed under the name Arabidopsis thaliana (thale cress). Lineage: Eukaryota; Viridiplantae; Streptophyta; Magnoliopsida; Brassicales; Brassicaceae. The record is from RNAcentral.